RNAcentral lists this long non-coding RNA (1794 nucleotides) under Setaria italica (foxtail millet). RNAcentral describes it as "long non-coding RNA (SITA_LNC005334)". The record is from RNAcentral. Lineage: Eukaryota; Viridiplantae; Streptophyta; Magnoliopsida; Poales; Poaceae.
UCAAAAUAUGUUCCAGUUGAUUUCCUCAUUAUCAUUUCAGUCUCCAGCUCUAUAGCAACAUCUGUUUGCAAUUUGCAUGAUGGAGUUGGCUUGUCCUCCAGUUUUGAGAUGACUAGCAUGCAUACAGUUCUUGGUCUGCCCAACCAAAUCAAACCAGCAAUGAAUAAAUUGAGAAAAUUGAACACCAUGUGAAAGGAUUUGCAACUGCAGAAUGCCACCAACUUGAAGCAAAAGAAGCCUCAAUUUACAUAAACAUACAGAGAACCCUAUACUAGGAGUUAAAUCCAAGUAAAAUGGAAUCAACAUAAACAAAAAUAACAUCAGAUCAAGAACAUAGAAGUCACUGAACAAAGCAUAAUUGCCGACUCACAGAUAACAUGCACCGUCACCAUUUUGAUUGAAACAAUCAAAACAUGCACUGUCGCCAUUUUUACUGCAAACAUCUCCGGUGAAGGCUUCUCAAAUAAAAUCAUCACCAAAAACACACAUGAAUUAUUAGAUGCUGACCAAAGUGAAAGAUGUUACUGCCUGAGGCUGAACGAGAAUUCAUACCGACAUCACGUUCUCUAGUGCUCCCAUCUCGGCACCUCACACUCCCUGUCAAGCACCCUAGCUUGUUUAGAUAGGCGAGUAUACAUGGAAUCAAUAACAACUACCAGAACGGAAAAAAGAAAGGAAAAGGGUGAAGGGAUAACAGGUCAUAAAAUCGCUAGUCCAAGAGCUCAUAAAACAAUAACAGUACAGAUACAAUGGACACUGGAUUGACUAUCGCAAAAAAUUAUCUGACUGUUGUGUAGUAAAAAUGCAAAAUCGUGUGCAUGUGGUGAUAUGCGUACAAAUGAAGGGGGUGGAGGGAGACCAAAGGAACAAUUGUCUUUAAUGCUACGCAGGAAUCAGCAGCUUCAUUGAAGACAACAUGGGUUUGGCAGGAAAAGGAAGAGGAAUAUCGUGCGGGGGAAACAGUGUUCAAACUUGCGACUUCUGGCAAAAUUAGGCUUAGAGGGAGGGCCCCAUGUCUUGCGUAGAAGAAAUCAUCAUUUGAACACGCCACGAUUUAUUGGGAUGGGUCGAACCAUGUGAAUGAAUGAAAAGAGCCCUCACCUUCUUUGGCUGGAUCUUCAAAGCUUUAGAAAACCAGUUCGCCACACCCCCUACCCCUGUUAUCAGUCCUGUGUUGCCUAUGCUAGCACCCCAAAAUGAUCCCUGACUUUGUACAAUUCCGUAGGGCACACUACAGAAACACAACCUAUGCUUGUUUGCUUGUCUUCUUUUCGACCACCCAAUCCACAACAAAUCUAACGGAACCACUUGAAAUAUCGAUAAACAUGGAAAUUUUAGAAAUUAACUCUGACUAGGCAAGGCAUUGUUCCCUGGAACAAGGACCAUGCGUGUAUUUUGGGAUAAAAUCCCGGAAGAAGAUUAUGGAUGCUAUACUGACACAGAAAAUACAUUUAGAUUUGACAUUGCAUGAUGAUUCCUACAAUUUAUUUUGUGGUACUUUAGCAUGGUGAGAUACUGAAACAAUAUAAUCAUAUCAUAUAGUUACGAUUCACACAUUCUAAUUGAACAGGCGGGUUUAGCAGUUAUCUGUUUGGUAUGAGCGGAACUAUUGCUAACAAAGCAACAGAGGCAAAUGAUGCUCAGAAUAUCAAGGAACCCCACCUUGGAUGGAUGAUAGGGUUUAUGUUCCUCGUCAGUUUUGUUGGCCUUUUUGCUCUGGUGCCUCUGAGAAAGGUACAUGAUUCACUUUCCCACUCUAUUCUCCAGUGACAUUUUGCAAAAACAAACUUUCUG